This 253-nucleotide ribosomal RNA is filed under the name uncultured bacterium. RNAcentral describes it as "partial 16S ribosomal RNA". It matches the Rfam family "Bacterial small subunit ribosomal RNA", at positions 524 to 776 of the family's 1533-position model. The record is from RNAcentral.
UACGUAGGUGGCAAGCGUUAUCCGGAAUUAUUGGGCGUAAAGAGCGCGCAGGUGGUUAAUUAAGUCUGAUGUGAAAGCCCACGGCUUAACCGUGGAGGGUCAUUGGAAACUGGUUGACUUGAGUGCAGAAGAGGGAAGUGGAAUUCCAUGUGUAGCGGUGAAACGCGUAGAGAUAUGGAGGAACACCAGUGGCGAAGGCGGCUUCCUGGUCUGCAACUGACGCUGAGGCUCGAAAGCGUGGGGAGCAAACAGG